CAAGGUAUAGCUCAAGUGGUAGAGUGCGUGCUUCACAGGCACGAGCUCCUGGGUUCAAUCCCUAGUACUUCCA
Molecule: transfer RNA, 73 nt
Filed under: Camelus bactrianus (Bactrian camel)
Lineage: Eukaryota; Metazoa; Chordata; Mammalia; Artiodactyla; Camelidae
Also listed under: 2 other names
Rfam family: tRNA
About the family: Transfer RNA (tRNA) molecules are approximately 80 nucleotides in length. Their secondary structure includes four short double-helical elements and three loops (D, anti-codon, and T loops).
Source: Rfam by way of RNAcentral